This 548-nucleotide ribosomal RNA is filed under the name uncultured Glomeromycotina. Its description in RNAcentral is "SSU rRNA". It matches the Rfam family "Eukaryotic small subunit ribosomal RNA", at positions 548 to 1098 of the family's 1831-position model. Lineage: Eukaryota; Fungi; Glomeromycota. The record is from RNAcentral.
UUGGAGGGCAAGUCUGGUGCCAGCAGCCGCGGUAAUUCCAGCUCCAAUAGCGUAUAUUAAAGUUGUUGCAGUUAAAAAGCUCGUAGUUGAAUUUCGGGAUCAGAGUGUCGGUCGUGCCUCGGUACGUACUGGUAUUAUUGGUUCCUACCUUCUGAAGAACCGCGAUGUCAUUAAUUUGGUGUCGUGGGGAAUCAGGACUGUUACUUUGAAAAAAUUAGAGUGUUUAAAGCAGGCUUACGCUUGAAUACAUUAGCAUGGAAUAAUGAAAUAGGACGUUUGAUUCUAUUUUGUUGGUUUCUAGGAUUGACGUAAUGAUUAAUAGGGAUAGUUGGGGGCAUUAGUAUUCAAUUGUCAGAGGUGAAAUUCUUGGAUUUAUUGAAGACUAACUACUGCGAAAACAUUUGCCAAGGAUGUUUUCAUUAACCAAGAACGAAAGUUAGGGGAUCGAAGACGAUCAGAUACCGUCGUAGUCUUAACCAUAAACUAUGCCGACUAGGGAUCGGAUGAUGUUAAUUUUUUAAUGACUCAUUCGGCGCCUUACGGGAAAC